This 92-nucleotide microRNA precursor is filed under the name Canis lupus familiaris (dog). RNAcentral describes it as "mir-8799 microRNA precursor family". It matches the Rfam family "mir-8799 microRNA precursor family". RNAcentral also lists the same sequence under 1 other name. The record is from Rfam by way of RNAcentral. Lineage: Eukaryota; Metazoa; Chordata; Mammalia; Carnivora; Canidae.
AGGGGGAGCGCCGGAUCUUGGGCUGUGUCCUGCGCGCCCUGUGCUCCUGGGCCUGCGCUGUUGGAGUCGCGCUCCCGGCUGCGCAGCUCCCU